This 720-nucleotide long non-coding RNA is filed under the name Spirodela polyrhiza (greater duckweed). RNAcentral's name for it is "long non-coding RNA (SPOL_LNC000388)". The record is from RNAcentral. Lineage: Eukaryota; Viridiplantae; Streptophyta; Magnoliopsida; Alismatales; Araceae.
GGAAUGAUCGCUCAUAUCUUGGCUUCCAAAAUAUGUCAGUGGAGCUAGUUCCAAUAUUCUGUAGGACAGUUUCCUUAGAAGCCAAAAAUAUAUUAAAAUCUAUUACCUGAAGAGGGCGUUUUUCUUGUAAGAAAUGGUCAGAUGCUCAUGAAAGGCAAUGUCGACAAAGUGGCUAUGAGGUCGUUGGAAAUAUGUUGUUAGCAAGAUCUAGCACAGAGGAGCAGGAUCCAAGUCUAGAAUGGUAUCAGCAGGGGAAUGGUGUAUGCCCUCUUGGUUUGUUUUAUAUGGUUGGCAAUUGAUCAUUUCUCCAACCUCAAGGCACCCAGAGCUCUUAUCAUGAAACCAAAUCUAUCAGGAACUCUCUUUUUGGUCCGGGGACUGCUCUAAGUGCAAAAUAAUUGGCCUACUAGAGUGGGAAAAGAUGUUUGCAAGAGUAAGAAUGGAAGAGUGGGGUUGAUCAUCCUGUGGAAGUUUACUAACUCUGUUCUCUUUAAGUGGUUCUAGAUGCUGAAUAAAGAUCAUUGUUGUUGGGGAAAGCAGUGAAAUCACAGUGGUAUAGCAGAAGUAGCAGAAAGAGCAUGGCUCAAAUUGGAGCAGAGAUGGCGCUAACUUCUCCUUAUUGCCAGUCUGAUGAUAAAAUAUAUCUGAGGUGUUGGGGGGAUGAUCUGGGUGAUGGAUCCUCUCUUGGUAUCAAACCUGGAAAUAUACAUCUGCUGCCUG